AUGCACAAUGAAAAAAAUGUAGCUGAAGCUAUAUUUAACACAUGCUUUGACAUUCCUGAUAAAACUAAAGAUAAUGUGAAGGCAAGAAAAGAUCUAGCUGAAAUUUGCAACCAUCCUUCGAUGCACUUGAAACUGAAAGACAAUGGGAAGUGGGAGAAGCCAAGAGCACCUUUUGUCAUCGAUAAGAAGGAUGUGAUAACCAUUCUGAAAUGGUUCCAAGAGCUGAAGUUCCCUGAUGGGUAUGCAUCAAGCUUUAGACGGGGAGUUAGCCUACUACAUAGAAAGAUAUUUGGCCUCAAAAGUCAUGAUUACCAUAUCUUCAUGGAACGCCUACUUCCUGUUGCAUUUCGUGGCUUCCUUCCAGAGGACAUAUGGAAGUGUCUAGCAGAGCUAAGUUAUUUCUAUAGGCAGCUAUGUGCAAAAGAACUUAGCAAGGAUACCAUACGUUCACUUGAGGAGAAUGUUGUUGUUCUUGUAUGCAAAUUGGAGAAGAUAUUCCCUCCUCGUUUCUUCAAUCCCAUGCAACAUUAA
Molecule: ribosomal RNA, 531 nt
Filed under: Triticum aestivum (bread wheat)
Lineage: Eukaryota; Viridiplantae; Streptophyta; Magnoliopsida; Poales; Poaceae
Description: partial small subunit ribosomal RNA
Source: RNAcentral